CAGCGAAAUGCGAUAAGUAAUGUGAAUUGCAGAAUUCAGUGAAUCAUCGAAUCUGUGAACGCACCUUGCGCUCCUUGGUAUUCCGAGGAGCAUGCCUGUUUGAGUGUCUUGAAGUCAUCAACCCCCUCCGUUUCGCACGGGGAGGGUUGGACGUGGGGGCUCUGCUGCCGUGAGGCGGCUCCCCUCAAAUGCAUCGGUUGGGCCUGUGGGUCGAACUCGACUGGGCGUUGUACCAUCCUCGCUCGACAGAGACGUUCCCCUUCUGUGCCCUUCCCCGACCUGCCUAUCAGAGGGGCGGUCAAGCAACAAACUCUGAAAUCUGACCUCAAAUCAGGUAGGACUACCCGCUGAACUUAAGCAUAUCAAUAAGCGGAGGAAAAGAAACUAACAAGGAUUCCCCUAGUAACUGCGAGUGAAGCGGGAAAAGCUCAAAUUUGAAAUCUGGCGGCUCCGUCGCCCGAGUUGUAUUCUGGAGAAGCGUUUUCCGUGC
This 490-nucleotide ribosomal RNA is filed under the name uncultured fungus. RNAcentral's name for it is "eukaryotic LSU rRNA". The stretch from base 321 to 490 matches the Rfam family "Eukaryotic large subunit ribosomal RNA", at positions 1 to 170 of the family's 3401-position model. Lineage: Eukaryota; Fungi. The record is from RNAcentral.